UACGGAGGGUGCAAGCGUUGUUCGGAAUCACUGGGCGUAAAGGGCGUGUAGGCGGUCCGCUAAGUCUGAUGUGAAAGCCCCGGGGCUCACCCCCCGGAAGGGCAUUGGAAACUGGCGGACUCGAGUCUCGGAGAGGAAGGUGGAAUUCCGUGGUGUAGCGGUGAAAUGCGUAGAUAUCAGGAGGAAUACCGGUGGCGAAGGCGGCCUUCUGGACGAUGACUGACGCUGAGACGCGAAAGCGUGGGGAGCGAACAGG
Molecule: ribosomal RNA, 256 nt
Filed under: uncultured bacterium
Lineage: Bacteria
Description: partial 16S ribosomal RNA
Rfam family: Bacterial small subunit ribosomal RNA
Source: RNAcentral